Molecule: small RNA, 2404 nt
Filed under: Pongo abelii (Sumatran orangutan)
Lineage: Eukaryota; Metazoa; Chordata; Mammalia; Primates; Hominidae
Description: processed transcript
Source: RNAcentral
UCCUUCCGCCUCCGCCAGCGCCGAGGAAUGUGGCGAGGCCGGCUGGGCGGCUCGAACGCCUGGGUCCCCCUCCGCUCUCAGUUCGCAAGCGCGGAGGCCAGAUGCGAGAGCUCCCGCUGCGGAGACCUGGACGAGGGGGAGAAGUCAUCCCAGGAUUGGGGUCUGUGGCGGGGACCCCACGGAGAGGGAGGGUCCCCUGGAAGUGACGCUGACUCAGCCAGUGAGGAGCGGGCCUGUCUCCAACAGGCUGCAGAGCUGGGAGGAGACUUGGAGCCUCAUCCCGGAGAAAGGGCUGCCGGAGGAUGACCCGGACACCGUUGUGAAAGGUUGGCUGUACCGGGAGCCCCGCGGAGGAGGGGCGCGGCCCUGGCUGCCCCCGCGCCGAGCCUGGUUUGUGCUCACGCGGGACUCCCUGGAUCAGUUCAGCAGCAGCGGGAAAGGGGCGCGGCGUCUCGGGAGCCUCGUGCUCACCAGCCUGUGCUCGGUGACCGGCCCAGAGCGCAGGCGUAAGGAGACAGGUCUGUGGUCAGUGACUGUGUCUGGUCGGAAACACAGUGUCCGCCUCUGCUCCCCACGCCAGGCAGAGGCUGAGCGCUGGGGGGUGGCAUUGCGGGAAGUGAUCGCCUCCAAGGCACCCCUGGAGACCCCCACCCAGCUACUGCUCAGGGACAUACAGGAAAGUUGCGGGGACCCAGAGGCCGUUGCCCUCAUUUACCUGAGGAACCCGAUUCUGAGACACACUAGUGGAGCCUUGUACGCCCCGCUCCUGCCCCUGCCCUAUGGAGUCAGUGCCCCAGGUCCCCCCGGGCUCCCGGCUACCCAAGACCCUGCGGCCCUGCGGUACUGGCAACUCCUCACCUGCAUGAGCUGCACCUUCCGACCUGGGGGAGCUGUGCGGGGGCACCUCCUGGGGCACUUGGAGAGGACCGAGCAGGCACUCCCGGACUCGGAACUGGCGGAAUAUGCGCGCUUCAUCCGGAAAGCACUGGGCCGGACGCGCGGCAGAGAGCUGGUGCCCUCGCUGGCGGAGAUUUCCGCGUUGAGCCAACGGCAGGAGCUGCUGUGUACCGUGCACUGUCCGGGGGCUGGUGCCUGUGCUGUGGCCAUCGACUCCCACACCACGGCGGGGGAGGUGGCUCGAGAGCUGGUGGGGCGGCUGGGCUUGGCGCGGAGCCGCAACGCAUUCGCGCUGUACGAGCAGCGAGGGGCCCAGGAGCGAGCCCUGGCUGGGGGGACCCUCGUGGCCGACGUGCUCACCAGCUUGGCGGCGGAGGAAGCUGGGUUGGAGGACUCGCCCGACUCCGGGUGGAGACUAUGUCUGCGUCUUCACGGACCUCUGCACCCUGAGGGGCUGUCCCCAGACGGUCACGAACUGCCUUUCCUCUUUGAGCAGGCUCACGCUCUGCUGCUGCGGGGCCGGCCGCCCCCACCCGACGACACGCUGCGCGCCCUGGCGGCGCUGCGCCUGCAGAGCCUGCACCGGGACUUCUCUCCGCGGGUGCCCCUGCCCCGCCUGGACCGCCUGCUCCCGCCCCCGGCCCCGCCGCGCGAAGACCCGCCCCGCCCGACCCCCAGGCCGCCCCCUUCCGCUGCCCUGCUGGCCGGGGCGCUCUGGACCCCGGGCCUGGCCAAGAGGCGGGCGGAGCGGGCCCGGCGCGGCGGGGCCGGCCGCACUGCGGGAAGCAUUGCCCGCGAGGGAGGAGGCGGCGCCGGCACGGCAGCUGCCGUGCUGGGCGGCUGGAAGCGGCUACGGGGCAUGGGCCGAGCUGAGGCCAUGGCCACCUACCUGGCCCUGGCGGCGCAGUGUCCGGGGUUCGGCGCUGCUCGGAGCCUGGUGGGGGUGCUCCACAGAAGCUGUGCCUGGGCUUGGGAGCCAAGGCCAUGUCCCUCUCCCGGCCAGGGGAGACAGAGCCCAUCCACAGUGUCAGCUAUGGCCAUGUGGCCGCCUGCCAGCUAAUGGGCCCCCACACCCUGGCCUUGAGGGUGGGAGAGAGCCAGCUUCUCCUGCAGAGCCCCCAGGUGGAAGAGAUCAUGCAGCUGGUGAAUGCCUACUUGGCCAACCCCUCCCCCGAGAGGCCCUGCAGCAGCUCUUCUCCUCCAUGCCAAGACCUGCCAGACACCUCCCCUCCCAGCCAGCGCCCGGGCCUGGACGAGCCCCAGGGACAGUCUGGCUGCUUGGGGCAGCUGCAGGACUGAGCCUGCCAAGAGGUCACAACUUCCCUCCUGCCUGCAGCCUGGGCCAGGACUGCUCUGAGAUUUGAGGGAAACAUGGACCCUUUUGGCCCUGCAGGGACAGGGCACAUCCCACACCCAAGGGCUACAAUGGGUGUGGGCAAUUUUCUAGUUUGUUUCUUAAUUUAUUUGUAGAAGAGAAGCAAAAAAAAAAAAAGUUUCUUAUUUACAC